GAUGAAGAACGUAGUGAAAUGCGAUACGUAGUGUGAAUUGCAGAAUUCAGUGAAUCAUCGAAUCUUUGAACGCACAUUGCACCUCUCGGUAUUCCGGGAGGUAUGCCUGUUCGAGCGUCAUUUGUACCCUCAAGCUCUGCUUGGUGUUGGGUGUUUGUUCCGCCUCUGUGUGUGAACUCGCCUCAAAACAAUUGGCAGCCGGCAUACUUGUUUCGGAGCGCAGCACAUUUUGCGAUCCAGAUCAACGUACAGCGGCAUCCAAGAAGCCUUAUUUAACGCUCUUGACCUCGGAUCAGGUAGGGAUACCCGCUGAACUUAAGCAUAUCAAUAAGCGGAGGA
Molecule: unclassified non-coding RNA, 339 nt
Filed under: soil metagenome
Description: partial contains 5.8S ribosomal RNA, internal transcribed spacer 2, and large subunit ribosomal RNA
Rfam family: 5.8S ribosomal RNA (bases 1-120)
Source: RNAcentral